RNAcentral lists this unclassified non-coding RNA (858 nucleotides) under Hevea brasiliensis (rubber tree). Lineage: Eukaryota; Viridiplantae; Streptophyta; Magnoliopsida; Malpighiales; Euphorbiaceae. The record is from RNAcentral.
AAAAAUUGCAACAUAUACAGUGCUGGUACCGCUUGAAACGCCUGCGGGAACUACACACAUAAACUCUCCCGCAGAUACAGCUGAAUCCUCCCAAUUCUCGAGACAAAUUCCGUUGAUAUUCAGCAUUUCUAUCAGUUUUUCUUCGUCGGAGAUUUUGCAGAUCUGUUAGUUGAUUCAUACAUUAGCAGUAUUAGCUUUGCCGUUUUUGUGGAAAGCUCAAUAAUCAUGGUGUCCACGUCUAAGAUCAAAUCCGUUGACUUUUACAGGAAAAUACCUCGAGAUUUGACUGAGGCAUCAUUAUCUGGUGCUGGAUUGUCCAUUGUAGCAGCACUUUGCAUGAUGUUUCUCUUUGGAAUGGAACUAAAUAACUAUUUGACAGUGAGCACUACCACAUCUGUUAUUGUUGAUAAGAGUUCUGAUGCGGAAUUCUUACGAAUUGAUUUUAAUAUGAGUUUCCCGGCAUUGUCUUGUGAAUUUGCAUCAGUGGAUGUGAGUGAUGUCUUAGGAACAAAUAGGUUGAACAUAACCAAAACAGUACGCAAGCAUUCCAUUGACAAAAACUUGAGACCUACUGGCUCGGAGUUCCAUUCAGGCUCAACUGCAACAGAACUCAAACAUGAUGCGGAAGAUGAUGAGGAAUAUGGUGAAGGGUCUGUUUCCUUAAAUGGACACAGUUUUGAUAGAGUUACUCACCAUUUCCCAAUUUUGGUUGUAAAUUUCUUCGCUCCUUGGUGCUAUUGGAGCAACCGGCUGAAACCUUCAUGGGAGAAAGCAGCCAAUAUUAUAAGAGAGAGAUAUGACCGGGAAUCGGAUGGGCGUAUUCUUGUGGCAAAAGUUGAUUGCACUGAAGAAGUUGAU